GUGAAUCAUCGAAUUUUUGAACGCAAAUUGCGCUUCCUGGCAUCCCGGGAAGUAUGCCUGUUUGAGGGUCAGUAUUAACAAAAAAUCGGUUUGGUUGCAAAGUGUGACGUUUCCGGAGUUUGGGCUAUCUUAACGUCUUGGGUUAAGAGGCUUAAAAUUGACCUUUUUUGCGCAUUUUUGGACGUACAUGAAUUUUGUUUUUAUUCGGUAAUUCUUAAUGCCAAAA
Molecule: unclassified non-coding RNA, 226 nt
Filed under: Glomeraceae sp.
Lineage: Eukaryota; Fungi; Glomeromycota; Glomeromycetes; Glomerales; Glomeraceae
Description: partial contains 5.8S ribosomal RNA and internal transcribed spacer 2
Rfam family: 5.8S ribosomal RNA (bases 1-71)
Source: RNAcentral